CGCAUUGUUUUGUUUGAAGGGUCGACCUCUUAGUGUACAGCAGCAGAUGAUGCAACAGUCUCGUCAGCUUGAUCCAAGCCUGCUGGUGAAGCAGCAGACUCCGCCUUCUCAGCAGCCGCUCCAUCAGCCAGCCAUGAAGUCCUUCCUUGACAAUGUCAUGCCCCACACUACACCCGAGCUACAGAAAGGGCCAUCGCCAGUAAACGCUUUCAGCAGCUUCCCUAUAGGUGAGUUCCUGCUUGGCCACCAUGCACAUGUGCCUUCACUGCCUUUGCAGCUUUGUCCUUGAGCACAGCACCAGGCUUAGACGCCCCUCAUUGGAGAGUAGCACACUUUCCUCUGGAUUAAGUCAUCUUCAUGUGUCAGAAUGUUCUACCUAUUGGAAGGAACAGACUAAAGGACACACUCAUUUUCAGACUCAGACUGUAGGAUGCGCAGGGGCAGGAAGACGCAUGAUAGUGUUGUGAGGAAGAGAGGUGGUAUGCAGGCACUGCUCUGUGGAAAAUACUAGAAAUAGUCCCGUUAUGUUGUCACUUGUCUUAGGAGAACAGGUAUGAAGAGAAAUUGUCUUUCAUUUUUUCCAUUGUAUAACCAGGCUUUUCAUUCAUUGAGGAAAUUUAAGGCUUGUGUGUUUUCUCUUCCC
RNAcentral lists this long non-coding RNA (643 nucleotides) under Rattus norvegicus (Norway rat). RNAcentral's name for it is "long non-coding RNA NONRATT001179". Lineage: Eukaryota; Metazoa; Chordata; Mammalia; Rodentia; Muridae. The record is from RNAcentral.